Molecule: unclassified non-coding RNA, 345 nt
Filed under: Hevea brasiliensis (rubber tree)
Lineage: Eukaryota; Viridiplantae; Streptophyta; Magnoliopsida; Malpighiales; Euphorbiaceae
Source: RNAcentral
AAUUGAAUCAGAUCCAAUUAAUGGUGUCAAAAUUACUUCUUGUUUUCUCAUUUUCUACUCAUAGAAGAUCCAUUCUCCUUUCUCCUUCAUAAUUUUCUAGUUUUUUGUUUUUUUUUAUACUUUAGUACUCGAAAUUCUUGAUUUUUGAUAUUUGGUUUUGGUUGUAUUUGGUUCUAUAAGAGUAUUUCCUUUGUGGGUUUUGUUGUUUGUGAGAUUUAGGGUUGUGGGUAUUGAAUAGAUCAGUUUAUAAUGUCGGCAAUGAAGAGUUCAGGUCAAUUCUUUACAAUUGGGCUAGUAACAGCUUGGUAUUCAUCAAACAUUGGGGUUUUGUUACUGAACAAGUAU